UCACCGAAUUGUGUUUUAACUUUGUAUUUGCCAACACGUGAAAUUACCUUGUCCGGCAAUAGUUCCUCCAUCCUACAAGGUAUUGUGUUUGUUGAUCCCAAGGCCAUACAAAGAUAUAGGGUUUAUGCACAAUUGACCUUAACGUUUCGGACACAAAUACCAGAUGUACCCUAUCACAUACCGGAAACACGACUUAUUGGGAAGUUCUAGAUAAGCGAUCCUAACUAAUCAAGCGAAACAUUAUAACAAUCUGGUCAUAUGGUAAUCUGUUAUUACUCGAAUGGCUACACAUUGAAAAGCUAUCGGCCAGAAGUCCAUUAUAUAUUUUCUACAUCCAUAAGGCAAUUAUGAAAUCAAAUGGCGUUUUGGAUUGAUAGAAAGCCAUAAACGAAUACCUCUAAUGAUCUGGUCGAAAUAAACAUUUAUGAUGAGGGAAUAUCAAUUAGCAACAAGAAUAAUGGAACAGCUGUUUGGGACACUAAAUUCCUGUGAAGUAGCUCCAACGAUUGCAGUAGAAGAAGUACCCUCAUAAAGAAUAAAUCCGAGGCAAAAAACAGAUGUCUACAUUUGAGGGAAUGGAAACUCAAGACCAUCAAAAGCAAACCCUCGUGAAGUACAUAUGCAAACCCUCGUGAAGUACAUAUGCAAAGCCACUAAGAUGUGUUCCUAUAUCAGUCCUAAGCUGAAGUUGAAAAUCUCUAUAUCAAUUUUAUUAAUGCUAAUAUCUGCCAUGU
Molecule: long non-coding RNA, 734 nt
Organism: Lucilia sericata (common green bottle fly)
Lineage: Eukaryota; Metazoa; Arthropoda; Insecta; Diptera; Calliphoridae
Exons: 3
Source: RefSeq, a predicted model, not a curated record